UAUUUAAAGUCUAGCCUGCCCACUGAAAUUAUUUUAAAUGGCCGCAGUAAUUUGACUGUGCAAAGGUAGCAUAAUAAUUAGUUUUUUAAUUAAGAGCUAGUAUGAAAGGUUGGACGAAGUAAAUUCUGUCUCUAUUUAAUUUAAAUUAGAAUUUAAUUUUUAAGUUAAAAAGCUUAAAUGUUUAUAAAAGACGAGAAGACCCUAUAGAGCUUUAUAUUUUUAAUAAUAUAAUUAUAUUAAGAUUUAAUUAUUUUUUAUUAUUAAAAUUAUUUUAUUGGGGUAAUAGAAAGAUUUAAAUAAUUCUUUUUUAUUAUUUAUAUUUAUUUAUAGAAUUAUUGAUCCAAUUUUAUUGAUUAUAAGAUUAAGUUACCUUAGGGAUAACAGCGUAAUUUUUUUGAAGAGUUCUUAUCGAUAAAAAAGUUUGCGACCUCGAUGUUGGAUUAAAGAUUAUUUUUGGUGUAGAAGUUAAAAAUUUUGGUCUGUUCGACCAUUGAAUCUUUACAUGAUCUGAGUUCAGACCGGUGUAAGCCAGGUCGGUUUCUAUCUUUAUUUUUGUAUAAUAUUUUAGUACGAAAGGACCAAAUAUUAAAUAUAUUAAUAUUUAUAUAUUGAAUAUUAUU
RNAcentral lists this ribosomal RNA (620 nucleotides) under Merizodus soledadinus. RNAcentral's name for it is "partial 16S ribosomal RNA". The stretch from base 377 to 535 matches the Rfam family "Bacterial large subunit ribosomal RNA", at positions 2473 to 2632 of the family's 2925-position model. The record is from RNAcentral. Lineage: Eukaryota; Metazoa; Arthropoda; Insecta; Coleoptera; Carabidae.